CAGCAGCCGCGGUAAUACGGAGGGGGCUAGCGUUGCUCGGAAUUACUGGGCGUAAAGCGCACGUAGGCGGCUUGGUAAGUUAGAGGUGAAAGCCUGGAGCUCAACUCCAGAAUUGCCUUUAAGACUGCCGAGCUAGCAGGUGAGAGAGGUAAGUGGAAUUCCGAGUGUAGAGGUGAAAUUCGUAGAUAUUCGGAAGAACACCAGUGGCGAAGGCGGCUUACUGGCUCAUACUGGACGCUGAGGUGCGAAAGCGUGGGGAGCAAACAGGAUUAGAGACCCCUGUAGUCCCUGUCUCUUAUAC
RNAcentral lists this ribosomal RNA (301 nucleotides) under uncultured bacterium. RNAcentral describes it as "partial 16S ribosomal RNA". It matches the Rfam family "Bacterial small subunit ribosomal RNA", at positions 509 to 807 of the family's 1533-position model. The record is from RNAcentral.